AACGAACGCUGGCGGCAUGCCUAACACAUGCAAGUCGAACGAGACCUUCGGGUCUAGUGGCUCACGGGUGCGUAACGCGUGGGAACCUGCCCUUAGGUUCGGAAUAACUCCCCGACAGGGGUGCUAUUACCGGAUCAUGUCUUCGGACCAAAGAUUUAUCGCCUCUGGAUGGGCGCGCGUUGGAUUAGCUAGUUGGUAGGGUAAAAGCCUACCAAGGCGACGAUCCAUAGCUGGUCUGAGAGGAUGAUCAGCCACACUGGGACUGAGACACGGCCCAGACUCCUACGGGAGGCAGCAGUGGGGAAUAUUGGACAAUGGGCGAAAGCCUGAUCCAGCAAUGCCGCGUGAGUGAUGAAGGCCUUAGGGUUGUAAAGCUCUUUUACCCGGGAUGAUAAUGACAGUACCGGGAGAAUAAGCUCCGGCUAACUCCGUG
Molecule: ribosomal RNA, 433 nt
Filed under: uncultured bacterium
Lineage: Bacteria
Description: partial 16S ribosomal RNA
Rfam family: Bacterial small subunit ribosomal RNA
Source: RNAcentral